GUGUGUGCAUGCGUGCGUGUGUGUGUGUGCCUGCGUGCGUGUGCGUAAAUAUCAGUAAAAAUGACCUCUCUACCCCCCCAUAACGGAGGGGCGGAGGUGGAUGAGAGAGAGGAGGGGGAGGAGAGAGACAUAACACCAGGCAGUAGGGGGUGAGAGAGAGGAGGGAGAGGAGAGAGAGGAGGGGGAGGAGAGAGACAUAAGACCAGGCAGUAGGGGGAGGAGAGAGAGGAGGGAGAGGAGAGAGGGAUAACACCAGGCAGUAGGGGGGUGAGAGAGAGGAGGGAGAGGAGAGAGAGGAGGGGGAGGAGAGAGACAUAAGACCAGGCAGUAGGGGAGGAGAGAGAGGAGGGAGAGGAGAGAGAGGAGGGGGAGGAGAGAGACAUAAGACCAGGCAGUAGGGAGGUGAGAGAGAGGAGGGAGAGGAGAGAGACAUAACACCAGGCAGUAG
Oncorhynchus tshawytscha (Chinook salmon) is the source of this 448-nucleotide long non-coding RNA. The record is from Ensembl. Lineage: Eukaryota; Metazoa; Chordata; Actinopteri; Salmoniformes; Salmonidae.